GACAGAGGGUGCAAACGUUGCUCGGAAUCACUGGGCGUAAAGGGCGUGUAGGCGGGAAGGAAAGUCAGAUGUGAAAUCCCUGGGCUCAACCCAGGAACUGCAUUUGAAACUCCCUUUCUUGAGUACCGGAGAGGAAAGUGGAAUUCCUGGUGUAGAGGUGAAAUUCGUAGAUAUCAGGAGGAACACCAGUGGCGAAGGCGGCCACCUGGACGGUAACUGACGCUGAGAACGCGAAAGCGUGGGGAGCAAACAGG
This 254-nucleotide ribosomal RNA is filed under the name uncultured bacterium. RNAcentral's name for it is "partial 16S ribosomal RNA". It matches the Rfam family "Bacterial small subunit ribosomal RNA", at positions 524 to 776 of the family's 1533-position model. The record is from RNAcentral.